UUGAGUUCGAUCCUGGCUCAGGAUGAACGCUGGCGGCGUGCUUAACACAUGCAAGUCGAACGGAGAUAUCAUUUUCGAAGCGAUUAGUUUACUAAGAGUGGAGAUGUUGGUAUCUUAGUGGCGGACGGGUGAGUAACGCGUGGGUAACCUGCCUUACACUGGGGGAUAACACUUAGAAAUAGGUGCUAAUACCGCAUAACAGGGAAAGAUGCAUGUCUUUUCCUUGAAAACUCCGGUGGUGUAAGAUGGACCCGCGUCUGAUUAGCUGGUUGGCGGGGUAACGGCCCACCAAGGCGACGAUCAGUAGCCGGCCUGAGAGGGUGAACGGCCACAUUGGGACUGAGACACGGCCCAAACUCCUACGGGAGGCAGCAGUGGGGAAUAUUGGACAAUGGGGGGAACCCUGAUCCAGCGACGCCGCGUGAGUGAAGAAGUAUUUCGGUAUGUAAAGCUCUAUCAGCAGGGAAGAAAGAAAUGACGGUACCUGACUAAGAAGCCCCGGCUAACUACGUGCCAGCAGCCGCGGUAAUACGUAGGGGGCAAGCGUUAUCCGGAUUUACUGGGUGUAAAGGGAGCGUAGACGGCGAUGCAAGUCUGAAGUGAAAGGCGGGGGCCCAACCCCCGGACUGCUUUGGAAACUGUAUAGCUGGAGUGCAGGAGAGGUAAGUGGAAUUCCUAGUGUAGCG
Molecule: ribosomal RNA, 686 nt
Filed under: uncultured bacterium
Lineage: Bacteria
Description: bacterial SSU rRNA
Rfam family: Bacterial small subunit ribosomal RNA
Source: RNAcentral